Long non-coding RNA from Armigeres subalbatus, 498 nucleotides. RefSeq lists it as uncharacterized. The transcript has 2 exons. Lineage: Eukaryota; Metazoa; Arthropoda; Insecta; Diptera; Culicidae. The record is from RefSeq and is a predicted model, not a curated record.
CUAGUACGCAGUUCUCAAGGAAAAAGGUCAAGGAAAAUUUCAUCAAAUUACCAAAGUAAUUUUGACAAUUCAAUGCAAUCGAAAAAGUAGGCGAAAAAUAUAUGUUUUGCGCUCAUUCGUCAGUCAGUCAGUCAAAUAAUCAAAAUGUCAUCAAUCAGAUGGAUUCACCGACAUUAUUGCAGAUGGCUGCUGGAAUUGAAUGUCCGAAUAGGCUUAGGAACAGCACUCGGGUCUUCACUUUAUUAGUAAAUGUCCCGGUCGGUAUUCACUAGUCUGGCAUUGACGCCUACGCACUCGAAAAGCCACCAAAUGCCACGGUAGCAGCCACUCAACAUCCGUUCAAUUUCAACCUCUUUGUAAGCCAGCGAGGAUAAGACUCGGGAUUAGUCGUUCGGGCAAUGGAAUUUCCAGUUUUUUAACAACUACUCCUUAUCCGGGUGGAUGCUACGAAUGCAAGUUAAAAGCUUCAAAUUUGAAAAAAAUACAUGUUUUUUAUGA